UCUUUCUUUAAAAAAAAAAAAAAAAAAAGAAAUGUGAAUGUAAGUGGCCAAAAUCCAAGCUUGAUGGGAAAACAAUCCAUGUUGUCUGUACUUUUAUCAGUUGGAGAUGGUACUAGUUGGACUCUUGAUUUGGAGGCCUCUGAUUUUACACACUGGACCCUUGAUCAUAUUUAACAAAAAAUUUUUCUUUUGUAAUAUCCUUGAACUAAACAGACAUUUCUGUGUCCUUUUAUUCUGUGAGAUGAGAGAAAAAUAGUUUUUAUACAGAUCCCUGGGUCAUUCUUAACUAUUUGAAAUGAGGGGAAUACACACACAUAUAUAAUAUAUACCCAUACAUAUAGAAACACAUAUAUAGACACACAGUGGUAUAUAAAUGCAUACUAUGUAUGUGUGUGUGUAUAUAUGUGUAUAUAUACACACUCACAUAUACAUAGAGAGAGGGAGAGCAGUCACUGUGGAAUGACCUAAGUUUGUAUCCUCAGUUCUACUAGGAUCUCUUGUCUUGGCGUCACUAGCAUAACCACUGCCCAAGUCUGUCUGUUUGGACACCUCAUCUGAUGCUUUUGCAUUUCUUUUCUGGUAGCUGUGGCCUGUAUUUG
This 599-nucleotide long non-coding RNA is filed under the name Marmota monax (woodchuck). The record is from RNAcentral. Lineage: Eukaryota; Metazoa; Chordata; Mammalia; Rodentia; Sciuridae.